UCGCUGCCGGAGCCUCCCGUCGCUCUCCCACUCAGCUUGGCCUCUCGAGUUGCAGCCUACUGCUUGCAAUCACUGAAAAAGAAAUUGCUUUGCCAGAGCGUGCAUGGAUGUGCAGGGUGUAGUGUUGCCGUUUGAUUCAGAGUGGAGAAUGUAUGGAGCUCCCAAGUCUGACCCCUCUACCAGUGUUAAAGUUAACAAUAACUAGGAUGCACUCAGAAUACUCAUGUAUUUGUUUCCCAUAUUAUUAUCAAUCCAAGGAUCGAAGAUUGUUUCCCAUAUUAUUAUCAAUCCAAGGAUCGAAGAAGAAAAAUAGGGACAUAGCAAAAUUGACUUUAGAGAGCUGGACCAGGAUCUACAAAAAUGAUCACACU
This is a long non-coding RNA of Triticum dicoccoides, 371 nucleotides long. RefSeq lists it as uncharacterized. The record is from RefSeq and is a predicted model, not a curated record. NCBI's taxonomy places the organism in Eukaryota, Viridiplantae, Streptophyta, Magnoliopsida, Poales, Poaceae. The transcript has 3 exons.